GUGACAUUUAAUGCUGCAUGUCAUAAUAAUACAUUUUCUUAGGAGGCGAAUCUAAUAGAAAUAUUGGAGGAAUGACUUUGUUGGAUAAAAUGGUCGAAAUGUGAAGAACACUAGUGUAUGAGCGAUGGAACAAAAAAUUUAUCAAUUAUCUCACAGUAAAUGGCUUCCACAAUUGGCCUUAACAUUUACACAAUAUCUAUGAACCUCUUAGAGGAAGUCAAACUUGAAUGGCUGGCAAUGCCCAUGGAUUUUUCUGGAAGUUAUAGAUUGAAACACAUUUUGUGGAAUCGUUUUCCUUCUGGGUUCUUUCUUAUUAGAAAUUCUUAUGGUUUCCUUAAAUGAAAAUAAUAUGCUCUUUGCUUAAAAGCAAACCAAAAGGAAAAGAUGGAUGUUAGGAUUGUGAUUUUGAGGGAGGAUGUAUUAGCCUGUAGAUAUGGUUUUUGUAGCAUAUGACUGAAGGGCAACCUUUAAAGCCAUCUUCUAUCUUGGUUCCUAUUCAUUAUAGAAAAUUUACUAGGGCUUCUUUAUUGACUAUGUCUACUCUUUCACUUACUUGUCUGGUUUCAUGCCUAUCUAACACAAAACCACUUCUGGAUUCCC
Molecule: unclassified non-coding RNA, 600 nt
Filed under: Hevea brasiliensis (rubber tree)
Lineage: Eukaryota; Viridiplantae; Streptophyta; Magnoliopsida; Malpighiales; Euphorbiaceae
Source: RNAcentral